Molecule: long non-coding RNA, 836 nt
Organism: Python bivittatus (Burmese python)
Lineage: Eukaryota; Metazoa; Chordata; Lepidosauria; Squamata; Pythonidae
Source: RefSeq, a predicted model, not a curated record
UACAGCCUGCAGGCCAAGGCUAGCUCAGCUUUGCAGUACCUUGUGGUUUAGCAACAGGAGGAGCCCUUCCAAAAAAGAAAAAAAAAGCUAGAACUGCUCUUACAAUCUUUCCCAGUAGAAAUGGAAGGUCAUUAUGGCUUACAACAAACAGUGAUAAGGAACAUUUCAGCUGUUAGGUUUCCACCUGGAAACUGCUAUUAAAGGCAAGCAUCCAAGCUGAGAAAAGGGACACCAACCUGCAUUGCAGGAAGCAAGCACAAGAACCCAGAUAUGAAGCCUUGAUAUUCCAGACACCGUGAAGUUGACUAGAACACCACCCAACAUGAGGGAUGCCUGGAAAAACAUACUGAUAAUAUCAUCUGAUGUAGCAUCUGCAGCUAUCUGGGACCUACCACAAGAUGCCCCAACAAUUCCAAACAAUGGAUUAUAUCAGAGCGUUCUCAGGUCGAAGAAAACCGUCUUGCAAAUCGGAGUUCCCCUCCACCCCGAGAACUGUUUCAUUAUUUCCCUCACCUUGUUUUAUAUUUUGUGGCCUUGUUUCAGUUCUGUAGCUUUCUCAUUCCCUUUUUUCAUCUGUUCUUCCCUCCAUGGGCUAUCUUAUCACAGGGUCGCCCUUUGCGAUGGCUACUUUAUCGCCUGGCGGGUCUUUUCAAAGCGGCUCUCUCUGAGUAUUUGGUAAAUAUUCUGCUGGGAUCACUCAAUGUCCUCACCCCCCUUAUCUGUUAAAGGUUAUCUUGACAUUUGAGUGGCUUUUGAGUGGCCCAGAGACAGAUAAGACAACUGUGACCCCCUGACAUUUUCUCCUCCUUGGUUCAAGGCUUAUUUAUUUAUUUAUU